AGCUCUCCGAGUGGUGUGGACGUUUAUUGGGCCUAAAGCAUCCGUAGCUGGCUGAACAAGUCCCCUGUUAAACCCACCGAUUUAAUCGUUGGUCUGCGGGGGAUACUGCUCGGCUAUGGGACGAGAGAGGCAGACGGUAUUCCCGGGGUAGGGGUGAAAUCCUAUAAUCCCGAGAAGACCACCAGUGGCGAAGGCUGUCUGCUAGAACGCGCCCGACGGUGAGGGAUGAAAGCUGGGGGAGCGAACC
RNAcentral lists this ribosomal RNA (247 nucleotides) under uncultured crenarchaeote. Its description in RNAcentral is "partial 16S ribosomal RNA". It matches the Rfam family "Archaeal small subunit ribosomal RNA", at positions 478 to 725 of the family's 1478-position model. The record is from RNAcentral. Lineage: Archaea; Thermoproteati; Thermoproteota.